GAGAUGCUCACUUCACAAUCCUGCUGAUCAGAGCUGGGUAAAUGAGUACUUCUAUCAGGAGGGCUCAUGCCUUUGAAAAGGUUUAAAAAAGGCUUUUAUUUGAGAAUAAAAAACAGGCAGAUAGACGUCAGUCUGGGAACUUCAAAAAAGACAACCCUAUCUGUCCCUCUCUAAUUCAUUAUGCUGGAAAUGUUGAAAUGUUUUCCCCUAAGCCUUACCCAGCAGACUUAGUAUUUACAGGGCAUUAUAUGAAAUAACCUGUUAUGCCAUGGGGAAAACAUGAUGGAAGGGGAAAAAGAAGAUAACUGUAUAAUAUGAAUUUUAGGGAAAAAACUUUCUAUUUUCCUCAUAGGCAGAGAGUAGGUGUAGAUCAAACCUUCCAAAACGGAUCAGACUGGUCUCAAGGUUCGAGUAUACAUUUCUAGCUGAAGCAUGCACCCAGGCAAAAAAUAUCUUGACCGAUGGCUGUUUUGUGAAUAUGAAAAUGCUACAAAGCUGAACCUGACUUGCUCUUUGCCCUAUCACUCCUCCUCUCAGCGCACAUGGCUCUCCUUACUUUCAUUAUACAUGCUUCCAUCUUCCCUGUGGCACCUAUUAGCAACUUCCUUUGAAGAUACCAAUCAAAAAUUUGAAAUGCUAAAUUUUUCAGUACUGUUUGAAAAGGAAGGCUUUUAUGGAAGCUGAAGGAUGAGGGAGCUCACCAGUUGCUAAGUGGCCAUGUACUUCAGUAAGCAGGGGAGUACUUGGGAACCAAAUUUCUGAACUCCAGUAUCUAAAUCCUUCUUUGUCUUGGCCUUCGGGGUACAUAAAUACUUCAGAUGAUAAGAGGUCUUUCCUGGCUUGUGGGAACUUCGUGGGGAGGAAGGUACAAUUGCAAGGAAGGCCCGCAGGAUGACGAGACUUCACCCAGAAAUUGAAGGUCUGAACUUACACCUCUGCAGUCAGCUGGUGGUUUUGCCAUCCAUGUCAGUUGUGGCAUCUUAUGGAUUUAAACUUCUGAGGCAAACACAAAUUGCAGAGGAAGAAAGAAAACUGUUGCUGUAUGUUCACGUUGCCUAUGCCCUCCAGUUCUGAAGAGGGUCUGUCACUUCUUCGAGGCUGUUGGUUGUUUCUAUGAUAAUUUGUCCUGAUGUGCAGAGAGGAGGGGACCAGCACUGCUCCGGCAGCAAUAAGGAUCCUCUGUGCUUCUGUCAGUGCUGCCUCUCCCUAAUAAUGUAACACACAGACAGUAACCAUUACAGCAUUGGCACACAACUAUUAUGCAGUUGACAUCGGUGCUUAAGUGAGGUUGUGGUAGACUCAUUCCUUGGCAAUUAUAAGAGGCUCCUUCUGUACUGAGGAGCCCACAGCCUAAACAAAUGAAGCCAAGAGAGAUGAACGAACACUCAUAUCCUAACUUUGCAGGUAGAAAACAAGAAAAGAACUUGUCACUUGUUCAAGAUAACUCUUGAAGCUCAUGGAAGUGGCAGUAACCCAGGUCUCCUCAGUCUUUGACCAGCACUGUACUUUUAAGAUCUUUCUUCCUUAUUGACAAAAUCAUUUCAUAGUUUCCUUCAUUAACUUUCAGACUCAAAAAUUCCCAGUGAUGUUCCCAUGGAAAAAAAAGGCUGACUUUUUUCAGAUUUUUAUGUUUGAUGUUUCAAAAUAUUAGGCACUCUGUAGCCCAUAUUCACACCCUGCUCACGAUAAUACCAGGACAGACCAAAUGCAGGUCAACAAGUUAAACCACUGUAAAAUGUAUGAGAGUUGUAGAUCUGUCACUAGUGGUGUCCCCAAGGUUCAAUACUAGGUCCAAUAUUGUUUAACUUAUAUAUCAAUGACUUGGAUGAAGGGGCAGAACCUCCUCAGCAAGUUUGCUGAUAUCACAAAGCUGGAAGAGUGGCCAAUAUCCCACAGUACUGUGCUGCCCUUCAGAAGGAACUUGAUAGGUUUGAGAGAUGGGCAGAGAAGAACAGUCUGAAGUUCAACAAAGGCAAAUGCAGGACCUGAGGAAGAAUAACCCUGGGCACCAGUACAGGCUGGGGCCAACCUGCUGGAAAGCAGCUCUGCAGAGAAAGGCAUGGGGGUCCUGGUGGACAACAGGCUGUCCAUGAGCCAGCAGUGUGCCCGUGUGGCCAAGAAGGCCAAUGGGAUCCUGGGGUGUACAGGAAGAGCAUUGACAGCAGAUGCAGUGAGGUGAUUCUGCCCCUCUACUCAGCCCUAGUGAGGCCUCACCUGGAGUCUGUUCAGUUCUGGGCUGCUCAGCACAAGAGAGAUAUGAAGCUCCUGAAGCAGGUCCAUCAGGCAUUUAUGAAGAUGAUUAAGGGACUGAAGCACCUCCACUACAAGGAAAAGCUGAGAGAGUUGGGCCUGUUCAGCCUCAAGAACAGACAACUGAGAAGGAACUUAUCAAUGUCUACGAGUAUCUGGAGGGAGGGUGUCAAGAGAUGAAGCCAGGCUCUUGGUGAUGCCAAGCAAUAGGACAAGAGACAGUAGGCAGAAACUGGUACACAGGAAGUUCCACCUGAAUAUGAGGAAGAACUUUACUGGGGGGGGUGACUAUGCACUGGAACAGAUUGCCUGGAGAGGUUGUGGAGUCUCCCUCACUGGAGAUAUUCAAGGAUAGGAUGCAGUCCUGUGCCAUGUUCUCUGGGAUGACCCUACUUGAGCAAGGAGAUUGGACCAGAUGACCCACUGUGGUCCCUUCCAACCUUACUCAUUCUGUGUGAUUCUGUGAUUCUGUGAGAGUUCGUCUUUUGCUACUAGGCCAGAAUAACCUAACAAGUUAUCUUAGCACCAAUACACAGUUUUAAUUUUAUUUCAUCCACCAAUGCUAAUAAAAGAACACUCCAAGGCGAGAAUUUAAAAUGAUUAAUUACAAUACUUUAAAAGAUGAAAAAGAAUCUGUGUGUGUCAGUCAUCCUCACAGGGCAAGGAAUAAUGAAAAUGCAAUGCACAGAGGAAUGAGUUUUCUAUUGUCAAUGAUAAAAGUGAUAAUCGCCCCAAGUCAAAGCAAAAUGACAGAUGAAAGAAACCUAUAGAACAUUGCCUAGGGGAGCUCCCGAGGCCAGCACUCAGUACCACAUAUACACAUGCUAGACUGAUAUUUAAUGAAGCUCUGGUUGACUCUAUAAUGAAUGUUGAAGGCUCUCUGGAGCAUCAAACAUCAUUUAAGAAUGCUAGAAGCAAAUGCUUUAUUUUUGUUUGGUGGCGGUAGGGUGUGGGGGGAAGGGCAAGUUUUAAUACAGUUUUUCAGCUCUUUUAACAAAUAAAUUGAAUUUGGAGGAAGAGAAAAAUCCCUUUAUCAUGCAAAGAGAAUUACUGUUUUAUUGUAUUUGUAACAUUUUAUUACACAUAGAAUAGAAGAGGAAAUGCAGCAGGGAUAGCCUAAUGGGUAAAUGAGAAAAAUUAGACUGGUUUUGAAGUCUCUAUUAUUUAUUCCAGCAAGGGACCAGUCUGACCCUUGUGAUAUAAGGAGUAGCCAAUAGAUUUCUAAAUCAUGUCUGUAUGUUCUGUGCUCAAGCAGCUGAAGGUGAAAAAGGAAUUGAAUGGAUCCUCACCCAUGAUUUAAUAUGGAUGUGGUGACUGUACUGUAUAAAUGUAUCUUCUAAAGACCUUUGGGACGGUACAACAGUAAAUAAUGGUUCAAGUUAUAUAUUGGUAGUACUGCUGAAGCCCAAUAGCACUGACAGGCAACAUUUCUUAUCUGUUUUGAUCUUAAUCAAGUAAUCUAUGUGCCUUUUGUGUCUCUCCAGAGACAUUUUUUGAAGUUAACAUCACCACAUCAGCUUUUGUUCAAUUGUUGGCCGAAAUUAUGCCAGAUUUUCUUCUCCACUCUGCCAUUUUUUCCCAGUAUACUAAUUUUAUUGUUGCUAGAAUCAUUUUAAGCAGAAUAUGAUUUAAUCCUGCCUCAACCAGCAACUGGCAUUAUUUGCAUUCGUAAGGCUCAAAAUGUGUCAACCCCCUGGAGAUGUAAUACUAAAUUCUUAUCUCAGUUUUUUUGCUACCUUGCCAAGGCAUGCAGUGUGUUAAAGACACAAAUAAAAAUGAUUCUGGAAAAAAAAUAAGUCUUAUUGACCACUGGCAAGUAGCAGCCCACAUUUAUUGUAAUGGGAAAAGUUUAGUCUUCUUUGAGUGGAUGCCAGCUCUUGAGAGGCUGAAAUUUGGGCUUCCACCUACUUCAGCUAAUAAAUCCAUAGAAUCAUGGAAUCAACCAGGUUGGAAAAGACCUCUGAGUUCAUCAAGUCCAACCCUUGAUUCAACGCUGCUGUGGUUACUAGACCAUGGUGCUGAGUUCCACAUCCAGUCUCAUCUUAAAAACCUCCAGGGAUGGUGAAUCCACCACCUCCCUGGGCAGCCCAUUCCAAUGUCUGAUUACUCUAUAUUAUUCUACAAUAACUUUUUUUUUAGUACUUCAGUAGAAACUAUUUUUACCAUUCUUCUAAAAGAGGCAUAAAAGAGGCAUAAUUGCCUUCAGUGAUACCAGCAGGCCCACAUUGUUGGGUCUCAAAAUUCUUUACACUCAGGACAUCUUAAGUAUUCUACACCAUCCUGAAAACUCACUAGCAUUUCUAGGCAUUGAACCUGCUUGAAAAAUGAUGUAAAGCAUGUAGAAAAAAUUCAGAGUAGUUGCCACAACAUGGAUGGGUACGGUUGGCAUUACAGCAAAUUUAACCCCUCUGUAUAAUCACCAGACAGUAGAAUUUCUAUUUUAAACAUAAAAAGUGUGGGACCCUUUCACUCCCAUUGUAAGACCCGAUAGUUCACCAAAUAACAGUCUUUACCACAGCAAUAGCUGGGAACCACAUCACUAUGGAAACAUUAAUGAAUUUAAUUGUGGGUAAAUUAGGGCGGAGCAACGAAUCAUCGAGGAUGGUUUUCAGGUGUUGGGGAAAUGCUUUUCCCUUUUACCCCUGAUGGGCUAACAAAGCUCCUUUUCCUUCCAUCAGGAAUUUUAAGUUCUACUUCAGAGAGAUUAUGGGAUACUUGAACUAAACAGUGCCAAGCCUUUCCUUAUUACAUAUUUUUAUGGACCAGGACUAGAGAAGCACACGUCUUCCUUAAACAUUUUAGCUAUCACCAAAGGAAUUUCAAUCUGUUUCUGAACAAGUUUGAAUACGCUAAACAUAAGUGUAUCAAUCCAGGAUGGAAACUGAAUUUAAAACUAGAGGUCAAAAAAAAGUUACUAAAGUGUUGCCAGUAUUUUAACUCAAUGAUCCCAGGAACAGGCAGUCUGUGAUAUGAGAUAUAUGUUUGAAGGCUUUUCACGUCUCAUGUAGGCAAACAGCCUCCUUGUGCCUGGAAGUGGUCUAUAACAAAAAUUUUGUAUGAAUCUGCUGAUAAGUUGGUAAAUUUAUUCCAUUCAUUUCUUGUGGUAUGCAAACAUUUCCUCAGAUUUUAUUUUUUUUCUGUUUUCCUGGUAUUCUUCUAAUCUUGUAUAACUUAUGCUGGAGGCAGUGACUAAACUCACAAGUGGAAAGCAUGCUUCCCAAGAGGAGAUGGUAUGCAAAACAAAUAUAUAAUAUUUGGAGUACUACUGGGAGGGGUUACAGCGCAUCAUAAUGUGUAAUUUAUCAACUAGAAUGAAGCAGUACAGUCUGCUCUAAAUUUGUCAUCCGAAAUAUGUAUAUGUAAUAAUCUGAAAUUUUCAUUUUUAUAAAAUCAGAAUUCAUUUUAAGAAAUAAAAUUGAUAUCUAAAAUGUAAAGACCUCAGACCCUCUGUUAGAGUAGGGUCAAAUAAUAAGCUUUAGGAAAGUGGAUUUCUGCAUGUAUGUGUGAAAUAAGGAAGCAAGAAAAACAUUUGCAACACUAGCAAAGCAAUAUGGGAUUUCAAAUUAUAGUGAUACUCAGAAUACAACGCUGUUAUGUGUUUCAGUGAUUGCUUUGCAGGGAAUGUCUGCAUAAAUUUACUCAAUUUGUAAAUAAACAUUAGCUUUCUUGUCUUCUUUAGCAGCUUUUCA
Molecule: long non-coding RNA, 5939 nt
Organism: Pseudopipra pipra
Lineage: Eukaryota; Metazoa; Chordata; Aves; Passeriformes; Pipridae
Exons: 3
Source: RefSeq, a predicted model, not a curated record